UUUAUUAUGUUUGACGAUGAAUUUAUCUGAUUCAUCUCUUUUUAAACUCUAUAUGAGUUAUUUAUAUUUUCAACGUUUCCCUCUGUUCUAAGGUUAUAGCCUAAGGUCUAACCCACCUAAGGUUUCUAACCCUAUAGCUCUGAUACCAUUCUGUGAGGUCCCCAAAUCCGGAUACUUGAAACCCGAACUCGGUACAUCACGAUACCAUUU
RNAcentral lists this long non-coding RNA (210 nucleotides) under Panax ginseng (ginseng). RNAcentral describes it as "long non-coding RNA (PGIN_LNC012622)". Lineage: Eukaryota; Viridiplantae; Streptophyta; Magnoliopsida; Apiales; Araliaceae. The record is from RNAcentral.